This is a long non-coding RNA of Passer domesticus (house sparrow), 1331 nucleotides long. RefSeq lists it as uncharacterized. NCBI's taxonomy places the organism in Eukaryota, Metazoa, Chordata, Aves, Passeriformes, Passeridae. The record is from RefSeq and is a predicted model, not a curated record. The transcript is spliced from 3 exons.
GCUUUUUGCUUCAAGAGUGUACUGCUGGCUUCUAUUGCAUUCUCUAGGACACUGAGACCCUUCUUAGGAAAGCUGCUUUCCAACUGGUCAUCAGUGAGGUUAUUGAACAGCCCUGGGCCCAUUAGUGAGCCCUCAGAUGCUGCACUCAGGACUUGCCUUCAGCUGCACCAAGGCCCCAGUAAAAUUGUGGCCGUUCUCUCAGCAGAUGAUAAGAGCCAUGAACGAGCUCCACGUCAAGGUGAAGUUCUCAAAAGCCUAGAAGCAGGAAGGAGAAAAUAAAGCCUCUGUUCAAAUGAGACACAUGAAUAUUAAAAAGUGCGUAACGUGUGGUUUCAGCCACAUAAUUUUCACAUACCACUGCCUCAUGGGCCCACAAACAUCCUCACAUGUUCAGUAAGGCUUUACUGCUGUGUGCUGGGAUGCCUGUAUGAAACCUGAGUGACCUCGGAGUGUCCCUGCAUAAGCCUGCAGCAGAGCUGGCUGCAGAACUAGAGGGGAAGAGGACUCAAACAUUGCAAGUGGAAAGCAGCACCAGUUAGGGCCCCCCAGAAAAACAUGCUUCUCUCAGGAGUGCUCAACUGGGAAAGAGCAUGUUCAGUAAUGGUGUGAAAAAUGGAACAACUUUAAAGGAAUAGAGCACAUGAGAGAGCCUGCAACAGAAGACUUACUCUCUUCCUAUUGAGCUGACCAUUGGAUAUCCAUUUGCAUCCAAAAAAUAAUUUGCAUUCAGUGUAUCCUGCUUUGCCACGCUUCUACUGUCUCUGCAUUAGAAUUGAUUUAUAAGCAGCUCCAUGAUUUUAACAGUAUAUACCAGGUGGAACCAGCACAACCUCAAGACUUCAAACAUCACACUUCUCCUUGGAAUAUAUAGAGUAUUUUAAUUUCUUUAUCAAUAACUGGGGAAUUUAUUCUAACCUCAAAUUUAGGCAACAAAUUUUUAUAGGUUUAAUGUUUUUUAUAAACUCUCAGAUAUAGAUUGUGGUGUUGUCCUUUCAUGUUCACAUGGAGAACAGAUAUUUGUUUUUAGAAUGUCCAGGUUUUAUAAUAUACACUACAUGACUGGCAAGUGCUCUACAAAAAUAAGUCAAUGAAAGAUUUAUGUCAUAGACAUAGAUACUAGGUCAUUCACUAGUUUUCAUGAGAUGGCAGAAUAAAUUAAUUUUCUGUCAUGGAAAUCCACUUAGACCACAUUUCUCCGAAAGGGACCUAUCUCAGUUGUGGUUUACGCUUAGCCAACCCAUUAAAACCUUUCUCUUUCUCUAUGUCUACUGAUUCUUAGCUCAGUUUCAUUCCUAUGUACUUUAAGAUUCUAACCAAGAUGUUUAAGUAGA